CUCAUCCUUUGACUAGCAGCUCAUAUUUAAUGUUUCUAAACAUAAAGAACUGUUUUAAGUAUUUGAUAUUAAUGGUGUAAAUUCAUUUAUUGUAAUUGACAGGUGUGAUGAUCAGUGGACUUGAGUUUUUACCUCCAUUGUUUUGAUGUGG
Megalobrama amblycephala (Wuchang bream) is the source of this 151-nucleotide long non-coding RNA. RefSeq lists it as uncharacterized. NCBI's taxonomy places the organism in Eukaryota, Metazoa, Chordata, Actinopteri, Cypriniformes, Xenocyprididae. The transcript has 2 exons. The record is from RefSeq and is a predicted model, not a curated record.